CCUACGGGAGGCAGCAGUAGGGAAUUUUCCACAAUGGACGAAAGUCUGAUGGAGCAACGCCGCGUGAGUGAAGAAGGGUUUCGGCUCGUAAAGAUCUGUUGGUAGUGAAGAAAGAUAGAGGUAGUAACUGGUCUUUAUUUGACGGUAAUUACUUAGAAAGUCACGGCUAACUCCGUGCCAGCAGCCGCGGUAAUACGGAGGUGGCAAGCGUUGUCCGGAUUUAUUGGGCGUAAAGCGAAUGCAGGCGGUUCAUUAAGUCUGAUGUGAAAGCCUUCGGCUCAACCGGGGAAUUGCAUCAGAGACUGGUGAACUUGAGGGCAGAAGGGGAGAGUAGAACUCCAUGUGUAGCGGUGGAAUGCGUAGAUAUGUGGAAGAACACCAGUGGCGAAGGCAGCUCUCUGGUCUGCUACUGACGCUGAGGCUCGAAAGCAUGGGUAGCGAACAGGAUUAGAUACCCCAGUAGUC
This 465-nucleotide ribosomal RNA is filed under the name uncultured bacterium. Its description in RNAcentral is "partial 16S ribosomal RNA". It matches the Rfam family "Bacterial small subunit ribosomal RNA", at positions 338 to 795 of the family's 1533-position model. The record is from RNAcentral.